AUGAUCGUCCUUUCUUCUUCUUCGAACGCCUUCUACCACUCUUCCGUUUUCUCCUUCGUAUUUCAUCAUCUCACCUCCGCUCAACAUCUUCACGGAUUCAAAUCAACAAAAAGCAAAAACAGAAAUCAUAUAAUUAAUGAAAGAAGAUUACCGAUCGGAGAAGCUUCUAACGCCUCUUCAAACUCAGAUGAGUGGAAGGAGAUUGAGGAUGAGAAGGUGUUUCAGAGAUGGAGAAAGAUGAUGAUGAAGAUGAUUAUGGAGUCUCAGAGUGAACGAGUUCAGAGAAUUGGGAGAGAGAUGAAGAGUGAAAUGUGA
Vicia faba (fava bean) is the source of this 315-nucleotide non-coding RNA. The record is from the annotation of a GenBank genome assembly. Lineage: Eukaryota; Viridiplantae; Streptophyta; Magnoliopsida; Fabales; Fabaceae.